Molecule: ribosomal RNA, 207 nt
Filed under: uncultured bacterium
Lineage: Bacteria
Description: partial 16S ribosomal RNA
Rfam family: Bacterial small subunit ribosomal RNA
Source: RNAcentral
CACGUAGGCGGAUCAGAAAGUCAGAGGUGAAAUCCCAGGGCUCAACCUUGGAACUGCCUUUGAAACUCCUGAUCUUGAGGUCGAGAGAGGUGAGUGGAAUUCCGAGUGUAGAGGUGAAAUUCGUAGAUAUUCGGAGGAACACCAGUGGCGAAGGCGGCUCACUGGCUCGAUACUGACGCUGAGGUGCGAAAGCGCGGGGAGCAAACA